AACUGAUACUACCUGCGGGAACCUGCGGAAGGAUCAUUACAGAGUUGCAAAACUCCAAACCAUUGUGAACUUACCUUUGCCGUUGCUUCGGCGGGCGGCCCGGGUCCCGACCCGGCGCCCCCCGGCCCCGUCAGGGGCGCCCGCCGGAGGUAAACCAAACUCUUGAAUUGUAUGGCCUCUCUGAGUCUUCUGUACUGAAUAAGUCAAAACUUUUAGCAAUGGAUCUCUAGAUCGGAAGAG
RNAcentral lists this unclassified non-coding RNA (240 nucleotides) under soil metagenome. Its description in RNAcentral is "partial contains 5.8S ribosomal RNA, internal transcribed spacer 2, and large subunit ribosomal RNA". The record is from RNAcentral.